AGAUUGAACGCUGGCGGCAGGCCUAACACAUGCAAGUCGAGCGGUAGAGAGGUGCUUGCAUCUCUUGAGAGCGGCGGACGGGUGAGUAAUGCCUAGGAAUCUGCCUAGUGGUGGGGGAUAACGUUCGGAAACGGACGCUAAUACCGCAUACGUCCUACGGGAGAAAGCGGGGGACCUUCGGGCCUCGCGCCAUUAGAUGAGCCUAGGUCGGAUUAGCUAGUUGGUGAGGUAAUGGCUCA
This 239-nucleotide ribosomal RNA is filed under the name uncultured soil bacterium. RNAcentral's name for it is "partial 16S ribosomal RNA". It matches the Rfam family "Bacterial small subunit ribosomal RNA", at positions 26 to 267 of the family's 1533-position model. The record is from RNAcentral.